GACCUUCGAUGGACGAAGUCUGACGGAGCACGCCGCGUGAGUGAUGAAGGUUUUCGGAUCGUAAAGCUCUGUUGUUAGGGAAGAACAAGUGCCGUUCAAAUAGGGCGGCACCUUGACGGUACCUAACCAGAAAGCCACGGCUAACUACGUGCCAGCAGCCGCGGUAAUACGUAGGUGGCAAGCGUUGUCCGGAAUUAUUGGGCGUAAAGGGCUCGCAGGCGGUUUCUUAAGUCUGAUGUGAAAGCCCCCGGCUCAACCGGGGAGGGUCAUUGGAAACUGGGGAACUUGAGUGCAGAAGAGGAGAGUGGAAUUCCACGUGUAGCGGUGAAAUGCGUAGAGAUGUGGAGGAACACCAGUGGCGAAGGCGACUCUCUGGUCUGUAACUGACGCUGAGGAGCGAAAGCGUGGGGAGCGAACAGGAUUAGAUACCCUGGUAGUCCACGCCGUAAACGAUGAGUGCUAAGUGUUAGGGGGUUUCCGCCCCUUAGUGCUGCAGCUAACGCAUUAAGCACUCCGCCUGGGGAGUACGGUCGCAAGACUGAAACUCAAAGGAAUUGACGGGGGCCCGCACAAGCGGUGGAGCAUGUGGUUUAAUUCGAAGCAACGCGAAGAACCUUACCAGGUCUUGACAUCCUCUGACAAUCCUAGAGAUAGGACGUCCCCUUCGGGGGCAGAGUGACAGGUGGUGCAUGGUUGUCGUCAGCUCGUGUCGUGAGAUGUUGGGUUAAGUCC
This 732-nucleotide ribosomal RNA is filed under the name Klebsiella ornithinolytica. RNAcentral's name for it is "bacterial SSU rRNA". It matches the Rfam family "Bacterial small subunit ribosomal RNA", at positions 359 to 1087 of the family's 1533-position model. Lineage: Bacteria; Pseudomonadati; Pseudomonadota; Gammaproteobacteria; Enterobacterales; Enterobacteriaceae. The record is from RNAcentral.